GACGAACGCUGGCGGCGUGCUUAACACAUGCAAGUCGAACGGAAAGGCCCUGCUUUUGUGGGGUGCUCGAGUGGCGAACGGGUGAGUAACACGUGAGUAACCUGCCCUUGACUUUGGGAUAACUUCAGGAAACUGGGGCUAAUACCGGAUAGGAGCUCCUGCUGCAUGGUGGGGGUUGGAAAGUUUCGGCGGUUGGGGAUGGACUCGCGGCUUAUCAGCUUGUUGGUGGGGGAGUGGCUCACCAAGGCUUUGACGGGUCGCCGGCCUGAGAGGGUGACCGGCCACAGUGGGACUGAGAUACGGCGCAGACUCCUACGGGAGGCAGCAGUGGGGAAUAUGGCAGAAUGGGCGGAAGCCUGAUGCAGCAACGCCGCGUGCGGGAUGACGGCCUUCGGGUUGUAAACCGCUUUCGCCUGUGACGAAGCGGGAGUGACGGUAAUGGGUAAAGAAGCACCGGCUAACUACGUG
This 468-nucleotide ribosomal RNA is filed under the name uncultured bacterium. Its description in RNAcentral is "partial 16S ribosomal RNA". It matches the Rfam family "Bacterial small subunit ribosomal RNA", at positions 28 to 507 of the family's 1533-position model. The record is from RNAcentral.